RNAcentral lists this long non-coding RNA (1079 nucleotides) under Homo sapiens (human). RNAcentral's name for it is "HSALNT0296031". The record is from RNAcentral. Lineage: Eukaryota; Metazoa; Chordata; Mammalia; Primates; Hominidae.
CAAGUAGCUGGGACCACAGGCACCUACUACCAUGCCCAGGACUCAUGUGAUUAUACUGAACUGACCCAGAUAACCCAGGAUAAUUCACAUCUCAAGACCCUUAAACUUGAUGACGUCUGCAAAGUCCCUUUUGCCAUAAGGUUAUAUUGGCAUAUGGUCCAGGAAUUAGUGCAGAGCCACAAUCUCAGAAAGAAAAUGAGAGUGGAUAAUGAAGACAGAUCAUCUGGGUGUAAACCUGAGGAUAUUCCAGAAUAUAGAGGUUAGAGAGAUAAGAAAGAAACUAGCAAGGAAACUAAGGAGCAGCCUCUAAGUAGAAGGAAAAGAAUGGUGAGUUGUAAUUGGAGGUGAAGACAGUUUCAAGGGAGGGUAUGUUAAUUGCUGCUGACACAUCAAGGAAGAUGAGGACUGAGCAUUGACCAUUGGAUUUAGCAACAUGGAGUUUUCUGCUGACCUGGACCUGAGCAGUUUUAAUGGAGUGGUGGGGGCAAUGCAUGACAGAAGAGAAUUCAAGACAGAAGGGACUUUUCCAAAAAAAAAAGGUAUACAAAUGGUUAUUGUGCAACGUGGAAAGAUGUUCACCAAUAUUAGUCAUUUAGGAAAUGAAAAUCAAAAGCACAAUGAGUUACCAGUUCACACUCACUCAGAAGGCAAUAAUCAAAGAAAUGGACAAUAGCAAGGGUUGGGAAGGAUAUGGAGAUAUUCUCCCACAUUGCUGGUGGAAUGUAAAAAUGGUGAAGGUGAAGGUGGAAAAACGGAAAUGAAGUAUUGAGAGGGAGAUGGAAUAUAAGAAGCUUUCUGACAGAUAACCCAAUGGAACAAACUGACUGACUGGGCAUCUGAAAUGAGUAAGAAGGAGUCAAAAAUGAGCAAAAUUAUGCUUCUCUGUGGAUGCAAAUCAUAUCUCCAUUACUUACACCCAGGAGAACUUGUAUGAAGUAGUUAACUUCUCUGGAUUUUAGCUUUUUCAUGUGUACAAUGGGGGGUUUAUGCCUCAUAGAGUUGUAGAAACUGCAAAUGAGAGACUUAUGAAAAGCCUACUGAAUGACCUUAUGAAUAAUAAUAUCAUCAGUGGAAGGUGA